GGAUUAGAUACCCUGGUAGUCCAUGCCGUAAACGAUGUCAACUAGCUGUUAGAUAUAUAUUUAGUGGCGUAGCUAACGCGUUAAGUUGACCGCCUGGGAAGUACGGCCGCAAGGUUAAAACUCAAAUGAAUUGACGGGGACCCGCACAAGCGGUGGAGCAUGUGGUUUAAUUCGAUGCAACGCGAAGAACCUUACCUACCCUUGACAUCUUCGGAAAGUUUUGUAAUGAAACUGUGCCUUCGGGAACCGAAUGACAGGUGUUGCAUGGCUGUCGUCAGCUCGUGCCG
Molecule: ribosomal RNA, 287 nt
Filed under: uncultured bacterium
Lineage: Bacteria
Description: partial 16S ribosomal RNA
Rfam family: Bacterial small subunit ribosomal RNA
Source: RNAcentral